This is a small nucleolar RNA of Melopsittacus undulatus (budgerigar), 76 nucleotides long. The record is from Ensembl. Lineage: Eukaryota; Metazoa; Chordata; Aves; Psittaciformes; Psittaculidae.
CUGAGCUAGUGAUGAUACAAGUUAUCCCUGUCUGAAAUUGAGCUUUCUUCUGUGGAAGGUUAACUCUGAGGCUCAG